Molecule: ribosomal RNA, 305 nt
Filed under: uncultured bacterium
Lineage: Bacteria
Description: partial 16S ribosomal RNA
Rfam family: Bacterial small subunit ribosomal RNA
Source: RNAcentral
ACAGCAGUCGCCACGGUAAUACGAAGGGGGCUAGCGUUGCUCGGAAUGACUGGGCGUAAAGGGCGCGUAGGCGGCGGCCAAAGUCAGGCGUGAAAUUCCCGGGCUCAACCUGGGGGCUGCGUUUGAUACUUGGUUGCUUGAGUGGGGAAGAGGGUCGUGGAAUUCCCAGUGUAGAGGUGAAAUUCGUAGAUAUUGGGAAGAACACCGGUGGCGAAGGCGGCGACCUGGUCCUUUACUGACGCUGAGGCGCGAAAGCGUGGGGAGCAAACAGGAUUAGAUACCCCAGUAGUCCCUGUCUCUUAUAC